RNAcentral lists this ribosomal RNA (497 nucleotides) under uncultured bacterium. Its description in RNAcentral is "partial 16S ribosomal RNA". It matches the Rfam family "Bacterial small subunit ribosomal RNA", at positions 28 to 507 of the family's 1533-position model. The record is from RNAcentral.
GAUGAACGCUGGCGGCGUGCCUAAUACAUGCAAGUCGAGCGAACAGACGAGGAGCUUGCUCCUCUGACGUUAGCGGCGGACGGGUGAGUAACACGUGGAUAACCUACCUAUAAGACUGGGAUAACUUCGGGAAACCGGAGCUAAUACUGGAUAAUAUAUUGAACCGCAUGGUUCAAUAGUGAAAGACGGUUUUGCUGUCACUUAUAGAUGGAUCCGCGCCGCAUUAGCUAGUUGGUAAGGUAACGGCUUACCAAGGCAACGAUGCGUAGCCGACCUGAGGGGGGGAUCGGCCACACUGGAAGUUAGACACGGUCCAGACUCCUAAGGGAGGCAGCAGUAGGGAAUCUUCCGCAAUGGGCGAAAGCCUGACGGAGCAACGCCGCGUGAGUGAUGAAGGUCUUCGGAUCGUAAAACUCUGUUAUUAGGGAAGAACAAAUGUGUAAGUAACUAUGCACGUCUUGACGGUACCUAAUCAGAAAGCCACGGCUAACUACGUG